GGUGCUGCAGAUGGCCAUCGGCGUCACGCCGUCCAACCGCGGCAGCCUCCUGCCGCUCAAGAGGAAGCUGUGGGUAACGCCAUCCUCUGAAAAUCCUAAUGGUGCUACUUCUAGUGUCAGCCAAGGAAAACCUUCUUUAAGACGAAUUAAAGGGAGACUACACAGAAGCAAAAGCCUUGAUAGCAUCGAUUUCUGUGAACUCACUGUAAGUGGAUUGUUGAACACUUUUUUCUCAUUUUUCAAAGAAUAUGAAAAGUUUGAUUUUUCUAAAUGUUCAUAAAAACUCUUAUUUUGUGGUAAGCAAUUUUCAGUAAAAACUGGUUUAUCCAACAGGUUACCAACCAAUACAACUUUCUUAACUUGUAUCCAUAGAUACAUUUAUGAUAAGUGGUUCAUAAUGAUGAUUCUGGUGCAAAGACCAAGAUAAUGAAAUGUUUCCUAAACUCUACAACAAAAGUUGACCUAAGGUUGGUGGAUAAUGUAAAUUUCUUGAAAAAUCACAAAACCACAUGUUGAUGUAAGUACAGACCUAAGUAUUUGAUAACUCCCAAACACCAACGUCCUGGUAGUACCAGAAAAUAGAGGUGCUCUCAUAUUAUUAGAACAAAUGUAAGUUUCAGUUAGUGAUGGUAUUUUCUUUUCAUUCUAAGUGAAAUCAUUAACAUUAGAGAUCAUUUUUUCCCAGACCAAGUGACAGGUUUUCACAUGGGUAUAUGGUAAAUUCUAAUGGUGUUUUUUGUUUGUUUGUUUUGUUUGUUUGUUUUGUCUUUUGUCUUUUCAGGGCUGCAUCUAAGGCAUAUGGAGGUUCCCAGGCUAGGGGUCCAAUUGGAACUACAGCUGCCGGCCUACACCACAGCCACAGCAACACCAGAUCUGAGCUGUUGCUGCCACCUACACCGCAGCUCACGGCAACACCAGAUCCUUGGCUCGCUGAGUGAGGCCAGGGAUCGAACCCGCAACCUCAUGGUUCCUAGUCAUAUUCAUUUCCACUGUACCACAAUGGGAACUCCUAAAUUCUAUUGUUAAUCAUUAACAUUAGAGAUCUUUUUUUCCUCCAGACCAAGUGACAGGUUUUCACAUGGGUAUGUGGUAAAUUCAUGCAUGUUUUGAGGAAGAGUGACCCUUUCAGACCCCACUGUCCUUUUCUAUUGUAUUGUCCUAGUCUAGAAGAGCUACUGUACUGCUGUAAAGGCAAUACUAGAAUUUUCUUAGCUGUAUGAAAGUUUUCAGAUUUAUGUGUUGUAGGAUUCAGUGGCAAAUUAAUGGAUGUUUGGGAUGCUUAGACUGCAUAUGUUCAUUUCUCCUCUUUGAGCUCUGAAAAAUUCUGAAUUAUAAAAGUAUCAUUGACAAUUAUUUUUUCAAAAGGUGGUGACAGUGUAUGAAAGUAAAGUCUGUCUUUUUGGAGGUUAUGAUUUCUGCAUCUUUUACCUAUAAUUGAUGAAAACAAAAGCUCAGUAAAUAUGGAUACUCUAUGGUUUUUACUUUUAGUAAUUUUAGUAAUUAUUUUUACUAAAAUAAUUUUAUCUAAUUACUUUAUUUAAAGUGUGCUUGACAACAUUUUAUGACACAAGACAUAAGAAGGUGAAAUAUGACCUAUCAGGAGACCUGUAAGCAAUAAACUGAAAAAAGCGUUUUUUUCCCCUUGCUAAGUAGACCUCUAAUAGUGUGACAGAAUAAAAUAUAAAACUUAACCUCAUGUAAAGUUGCCUUCAGUUUCUCGGAAAUAGAUUAUUUCAGCUGUGAGGAAAAGGUGGUGAAUAGAGUUUUUUUUUUCAUUGUGAUGAAUACACUGAAAAAUUAUUGCUGAUUUAUUCCAUUGGCUAGAAAGAGUUGAUCCAGGUGAAGUUAGUACACAGUCCAAAAGCUAGGGAAAAAAUAACACUGUCCAGGUGCAGAAUUAAUUUAUUUAUUUUUGAUAUCUUUCACUUUAUCGCAAAAGUGAAAGGUUUUAGCAUCUCUGGAAGGAAGGCGUUUUGAUAUUGAGGUUCAAGGAGAGGUAAAGUUGAGGUUUAUGGAGUUCCGGGGGAGCCGUUGGUUCUAGUUUAAGAGUGUUUUCUGCUUUGUGAGCUAUGCUGCUUGUGAUUUUGGUGUUCUGCUUUAUCAAAGGUGCAUUGAAAGGCCAUGGACUUUGGUGUGUUGAUGAUGGUUCUUCUAAUUGUCAGUAAUGGGAAUGUAUUAACGAAAUGUAAUUACAGCAAUCAAUUUGGGUUUUUUGCAGUUCGAGUUCACUUUCUGUCUCAGGUUUUUGCAGUCGUGGUUAGUGGGGCAGCAGUUUAGUAUUUUGUUCUUCAAACACUUUUAGAUUAUCACAAAUUUUUACAGUGAACAUGUUCCACUUUUAGAAAAGCAAUAAAUUCCUUUAGUGAAUAAUAAAAUAAUAGAGGACUGUCAGCUUGGCUACUCCCACUUUCUAUCAUAAGCUGUGGUCAGUUAAUUCUGUAACAUCCAGAAUACACAUAGAGCAUCUUUGGCAUGGGCUAAAAAAGGAUUUUUUCCCUCCACUUUAAAAAUUUUAUCUUUUUUUUUUUUUUUUUUUUUUUUUUCAAGAAGGGAGUGCUAUACUUUUUUAGAAAAGGGUUUCAGGGGGCAUAAAAGGUGUUUAGAUUUGGUUCUCUAAUGUAGUAGACUUUGUCAUAUAAUCAUGAAGAACCAAAUUUUAAAAUCCUUUGUUACAAAGUCUAAAGGGAAGAUCCUUGGGAAAGGGUCUGUAAUGAUUUCCAGUUGUAUCAGAAUACAUAGUCCUUAUUCUUUUUAGGAAAUAGCGUACCUAUCCUAGGUAUCUCUUUCCAGAUACUGUUCUAGUUCAAAAAGCCUGAAAAAUCUGUCAUAUUAUACAGUAUUUUUCAGAUUGUAAAAAUUUUAAUUAAAUGUAUGGUUUCCUCUGAUUACCAAAGUAAACAGAAAACUGUAAAACAGAAAGACUUAGACUUAGUUUAUGGUCUCCUGUGAUGUACAUAUACAUCAAAUUUGCACAACCAACAGAAUAACAUUUAUAUUUUUAUUUUUACAUUUUGCUUUUUGCCUGCAGAGAAAAAAAAAAAAA
Molecule: long non-coding RNA, 3043 nt
Filed under: Sus scrofa (pig)
Lineage: Eukaryota; Metazoa; Chordata; Mammalia; Artiodactyla; Suidae
Description: lncRNA (ENSSSCG00045006895.1)
Source: RNAcentral